Molecule: ribosomal RNA, 424 nt
Filed under: uncultured prokaryote
Description: bacterial SSU rRNA
Rfam family: Bacterial small subunit ribosomal RNA
Source: RNAcentral
UGGGGAAUAUUGGACAAUGGGGGCAACCCUGAUCCGGCCAUGCCGCGUGAGUGAUGAAGGCCCUAGGGUUGUAAAGCUCUUUCGCCGGUGAAGAUAAUGACGGUAACCGGUAAAGAAGCCCCGGCUAACUUCGUGCCAGCAGCCGCGGUAAUACGAAGGGGGCUAGCGUUGUUCGGAAUUACUGGGCGUAAAGCGCACGUAGGCGGAUCAGUCAGUCAGGGGUGAAAUCCCGGGGCUCAACCCCGGAACUGCCUUUGAUACUGCUGGUCUGGAGUCCGAGAGAGGUGAGUGGAAUUCCGAGUGUAGAGGUGAAAUUCGUAGAUAUUCGGAGGAACACCAGUGGCGAAGGCGGCUCACUGGCUCGAUACUGACGCUGAGGUGCGAAAGUGUGGGGAGCAAACAGGAUUAGAUACCCCCGUAGUCC